GACGAACGCUGGCGGCGUGCCUAAUACAUGCAAGUAGAACGCACAGUUUACACCGUAGCUUGCUACCCCAUACACUGUGAGUUGCGAACGGGUGAGUAACGCGUAGGUAACCUGCCUGGUAGCGGGGGAUAACUAUUGGAAACGCUAGCUAAUACCGCAUAAUAUUGAUUAUUGCAUGAUAAUUGCUUGAAAGAUGCUAUUGCAUCACUACCAGCUGGACCUGCGUUGUAUUAGCUAGUAGGUGAGGUAACGGCUCACCUAGGCGACGAUACAUAGCCGACCUGGGAGGGUGAUCGGCCACACUGGGACUGAGACACGGCCCAGACUCCUACGGGAGGCAGCAGUAGGGAAUCUUCGGCAAUGGACGAAAGUCUGACCGAGCAACGCCGCGUGAGUGAAGAAGGUUUUCGGAUCGUAAAGCUCUGUUGUAAGAGAAGAACGGGUGUGAGAGUGGAAAGUUCACACUGUGACGGUAUCUUACCAGAAAGGGACGGCUAACUACGUG
RNAcentral lists this ribosomal RNA (505 nucleotides) under uncultured bacterium. Its description in RNAcentral is "partial 16S ribosomal RNA". It matches the Rfam family "Bacterial small subunit ribosomal RNA", at positions 28 to 507 of the family's 1533-position model. The record is from RNAcentral.